AAGACUAGUUAAAGAUAAAUAAGGGCAUGUACGAUGAUGAGGGUUAGCUAUCAACAUCCCUAAGGAAAGGACAAUCACUCAUUAAGUGAGACACCUGGCCAGGCUUGAGGCAUGCAUGGUUCUCCCAAUACGAUUGGCCUUCUUAUUUUCUGCCUGCAAUGUAGGCGAAAUCAAAUUGAUCUCUAGAUAAUGAUCCACUG
Molecule: long non-coding RNA, 200 nt
Filed under: Prunus persica (peach)
Lineage: Eukaryota; Viridiplantae; Streptophyta; Magnoliopsida; Rosales; Rosaceae
Description: long non-coding RNA (PPER_LNC005751)
Source: RNAcentral